CCUACGGGGGGCAGCAGUGGGGAAUAUUGGGCAAUGGGCGCAAGCCUGACCCAGCAACGCCGCGUGAAGGAAGAAGGCUUUCGGGUUGUAAACUUCUUUUCUCAGGGACGAAGAAAGUGACGGUACCUGAGGAAUAAGCAGCGGCUAACUACGUGCCAGCAGCCGCGGUAAUACGUAGGUGGCAAGCGUUAUCCGGAUUUAUUGGGUGGAAAGCGGGCGUAGGCGGGAGCGUAAGUCAGAUGUGAAAACUCAGGGCUCAACCCUGGGACUGCAUUUGAUACUGUGAUUCUUGAGUGGUGGAGAGGCAAUCGGAAUUCCGGGUGUAGCGGUGAAAUGCGUAGAUAUACGGAGGAACACCAGUGGCGAAGGCGGAUUGCUGGACAGUAACUGACGCUGAGGCGCGAAAGCGUGGGGAGCAAACAGGAUUAGAUACCCUUGUAGUC
Molecule: ribosomal RNA, 443 nt
Filed under: uncultured bacterium
Lineage: Bacteria
Description: partial 16S ribosomal RNA
Rfam family: Bacterial small subunit ribosomal RNA
Source: RNAcentral